RNAcentral lists this ribosomal RNA (439 nucleotides) under uncultured bacterium. Its description in RNAcentral is "partial 16S ribosomal RNA". It matches the Rfam family "Bacterial small subunit ribosomal RNA", at positions 338 to 795 of the family's 1533-position model. The record is from RNAcentral.
CCUACGUGGGGCAGCAGUGGGGAAUAUUGCACAAUGGGCGAAAGCCUGAUGCAGCAACGCCGCGUGAGCGAUGAAGGCCUUCGGGUCGUAAAGCUCUGUCCUCAAGGAAGAUAAUGACGGUACUUGAGGCGGAAGACCCGGCUAACUACGUGCCAGCAGCCGCGGUAAUACGUAGGGGGCUGGCGUUAUCAGGAUUUACUGGGCGUAAGGGGUGCGUAGGUGGUUUCUUAAGUCAGCGGUAAAAGGAUACGGCUCAACCGUAGUAAGCCUUUGAAACUGGGGAACUUGAGUGCAGGGGAGGGGAGUGGAAUUCCUAGUGUAGCGGUGAAAUGCGUAGAUAUUAGGAGGAACACCAGUUGCGAAGGCGGCUCUCUGGACUGUAACUGACACUGAGGCACGAAAGCGUGGGGAGCAAACAGGAUUAGAUACCCCUGUAGGC